RNAcentral lists this ribosomal RNA (477 nucleotides) under uncultured bacterium. RNAcentral describes it as "partial 16S ribosomal RNA". It matches the Rfam family "Bacterial small subunit ribosomal RNA", at positions 30 to 507 of the family's 1533-position model. The record is from RNAcentral.
AUUGAACGCUGGCGGCAUGCCUUACACAUGCAAGUCGAACGGUAACAGGUUAAGCUGACGAGUGGCUAACGGGUGAGUAAUGUAUCGGAACGUGCCCAGUCGUUGGGGAUAACUGCUCGAAAGAGCAGCUAAUACCGCAUACGACCUGAGGGUGAAAGCGGGGGAUCGCAAGACCUCGCGCGAUUGGAGCGGCCGAUAUCAGAUUAGGUAGUUGGUGAGGUAAAGGCUCACCAAGCCGACGAUCUGUAGCUGGUCUGAGAGGACGACCAGCCACACUGGGACUGAGACACGGCCCAGACUCCUACGGGAGGCAGCAGUGGGGAAUUUUGGACAAUGGGCGCAAGCCUGAUCCAGCCAUGCCGCGUGCGGGAAGAAGGCCUUCGGGUUGUAAACCGCUUUUGUCAGGGAAGAAAAGGUUCUGGCUAAUACCUGGGACUCAUGACGGUACCUGAAGAAUAAGCACCGGCUAACUACGUG